GACGGGCGCGGUGGUGCACGCCUGUAGUCCCCUACUUGGGAGGCAGAGGUGGGAGGACUGCUUGAGCCCAGGAGUUCUGGGCUGUAGUGUACUAUGCUGAUCAGGGGUCCGCACUAAGUUUGGCAUCAAUAUGGUGACCUCUUGGAAGCGGGUGACCACCAGUUUACCUAAAGAGGGGUGAACCGGCCCAGGUAGGAAACAGAUCAGGUUAAAACUCCUGUGAUGAUGAGCAGUAGGAAUGUGCCUGUGAAUAGCCACUGCACUCCAGCCUGGACAAUACAGUGAGACUCCAUCUCUU
Callithrix jacchus (white-tufted-ear marmoset) is the source of this 298-nucleotide unclassified non-coding RNA. It matches the Rfam family "Metazoan signal recognition particle RNA". From Rfam's summary of the family: The signal recognition particle (SRP) is a universally conserved ribonucleoprotein. It is involved in the co-translational targeting of proteins to membranes. Lineage: Eukaryota; Metazoa; Chordata; Mammalia; Primates; Cebidae. The record is from Ensembl.